UUGUAAACCUAGUAAACAAAAGAUUCAUUUACAUCUUUAUGAGAAAUCAAACGAUUUGAUCCUUUUUUCUCAUAAGAUGCAAAUAGCUCCCACUAGCUUGCUAAGAUCCAUGAUGGAUGGAUCUCUACAACUUACAUGUCUUGUGAUUCAUAGUUUUAGACAUAUAUUAUCAAGACUAUCUUAAUAAUGUCCAAACAUUGAAUCACCAUUUAGUUGUAGCUAGCAAUCUUCGAAUUAAUUGAAACUAAGACU
Molecule: long non-coding RNA, 252 nt
Filed under: Malus domestica (apple)
Lineage: Eukaryota; Viridiplantae; Streptophyta; Magnoliopsida; Rosales; Rosaceae
Description: long non-coding RNA (MDOM_LNC007067)
Source: RNAcentral